CACGUAGGGCGCAAGCGUUGUCCGGAAUUAUUGGGCGUAAAGAGCUCGUAGGCGGUCUGUUACGUCUGCUGUGAAAACCCGGGGCUUAACCCUGGGCUUGCAGUGGAUACGGGCAGACUAGAGGCAGGUAGGGGAGAAUGGAAUUCCCGGUGUAGCGGUGAAAUGCGCAGAUAUCGGGAGGAACACCGGUGGCGAAGGCGGUUCUCUGGGCCUGACCUGACGCUGAGGAGCGAAAGCAUGGGGAGCGAACAGG
This 253-nucleotide ribosomal RNA is filed under the name uncultured bacterium. RNAcentral's name for it is "partial 16S ribosomal RNA". It matches the Rfam family "Bacterial small subunit ribosomal RNA", at positions 524 to 776 of the family's 1533-position model. The record is from RNAcentral.